Molecule: RNase P RNA, 374 nt
Filed under: bacterium
Lineage: Bacteria
Description: RNase P RNA component class A
Rfam family: Bacterial RNase P class A
About the family: Ribonuclease P (RNase P) is a ubiquitous endoribonuclease, found in archaea, bacteria and eukarya as well as chloroplasts and mitochondria. Its best characterised activity is the generation of mature 5'-ends of tRNAs by cleaving the 5'-leader elements of precursor-tRNAs. Cellular RNase Ps are ribonucleoproteins.
Source: RNAcentral
GGAGCAGGACGGCUAGCCGCCUAUAUGUUUAAAUAUAGGAGGAAAGUCCGGACACCCAUAAAGGAAGCCUCGGAAAACGAGGAAAGCCGUAAGGCUUUAAGAAGGUCACAGAGACAAUACUACCUGGUAUCAAAUUAUUUUGGAUACCAGGGAAAGGUGAAAAGUGGGGAGGUGUUAAAACAAUCUUGUUUUAGCUACUUCCCUCUCUUAAGGAGUAAUCCUUAAGAGUGGCCUUCUUCUUCUGGGUGCAAGGCCGCGCCAUCCUUUUAGGAUGGAGUGCCGCUUGUCCUUUGGAGUGAUCCAAGGGCUAGACAGAUGGCUAGUGCUAGCUUUUAAAGUUAGUACAGAAUCCGGCUUAUAGUCCUGCUUUAUUU